Molecule: unclassified non-coding RNA, 343 nt
Filed under: soil metagenome
Description: partial contains 5.8S ribosomal RNA, internal transcribed spacer 2, and large subunit ribosomal RNA
Rfam family: 5.8S ribosomal RNA (bases 1-120)
Source: RNAcentral
GAUGAAGAACGUAGCAAAAUGCGAUAAGUAAUGUGAAUUGCAGAAUUCAGUGAAUCAUCGAGUCUUUGAACGCACAUUGCGCCCUCUGGUAUUCCGGAGGGCAUGCCUGUCCGAGCGUCAUUGCUGCCCUCAAGCACGGCUUGUGUGUUGGGCCCCGUCCUCCUUCCGGGGGACGGGUCCGAAAGGCAGCGGCGGCACCGCGUCCGGUCCUCAAGCGUAUGGGGCUUUGUCACUCGCUUUGUAGGCCUGGCCGGCGCUUGCCGAUCAACCAAACUUUUUAUCAGGUUGACCUCGGAUCAGGUAGGGAUACCCGCUGAACUUAAGCAUAUCAAUAAGCGGAGGA